This 61-nucleotide transfer RNA is filed under the name Liposcelis sculptilimacula. RNAcentral's name for it is "tRNA-Ala". The record is from RNAcentral. Lineage: Eukaryota; Metazoa; Arthropoda; Insecta; Psocodea; Liposcelididae.
GGAGGAAAUUUAAAUUUCUUUUUUAUGCAAUAAAAUUGUUUUUAUAUAUAAACUAUUCCUC